UGUUGUUGCAAUAGUACUUGAACUUAGUACGAGAGGAAACGUUCAUUCGGAUAAUUGGUAUUUGGGCCCUGCCUGAGCAAGCAAAGGCCCGAAGCUAUCAUUCGUUGAGUUAUGGCUGAACGUCUAUAAGUCAGAACCCGUGUUAGAACGCGACGAUUACGGCCUUGUGCCAUUUUUUAGUUGAAUACGAAUAGACCUACGGUCCUCAAUCUUGCAGAGUGGAAAGGUUUUGUGAGGUUCCUACUACUGUUAAGUUCAAAUAUAGCAUGAGAUGAAUCCUUUGCAGACGACUUUAAUUGAACGGGUGUAAUAGGAGCAGAGCAAGAGGGUGC
RNAcentral lists this non-coding RNA (332 nucleotides) under Linnemannia elongata AG-77. Its description in RNAcentral is "Mortierella elongata AG-77 Eukaryotic large subunit ribosomal RNA". It matches the Rfam family "Eukaryotic large subunit ribosomal RNA", at positions 3006 to 3362 of the family's 3401-position model. Lineage: Eukaryota; Fungi; Mortierellomycota; Mortierellomycetes; Mortierellales; Mortierellaceae. The record is from Rfam by way of RNAcentral.